Molecule: transfer RNA, 66 nt
Filed under: Fasciola jacksoni
Lineage: Eukaryota; Metazoa; Platyhelminthes; Trematoda; Plagiorchiida; Fasciolidae
Description: tRNA-Pro
Source: RNAcentral
CAGCCUUGUAGUUUAUGUUAGAAUGCUAGCUUUGGGGGUUAGUGGUCUCUUUGGGGAGUUAGCUGA